This 216-nucleotide ribosomal RNA is filed under the name uncultured bacterium. RNAcentral's name for it is "partial 16S ribosomal RNA". It matches the Rfam family "Bacterial small subunit ribosomal RNA", at positions 57 to 305 of the family's 1533-position model. The record is from RNAcentral.
GCAAGUCGAAUGGGUUUAGACCCAUGGCAGACGAGGUAGGAACACGUAGAUACAUACCCCAAAGUCAGGGAUACUCCGGCGAAAGUCGGCAUAAUACUUGAUAGUCUCUUCGGAGUAAAGUUUUAACGCUUUGGGAAUGGCCUGCGGUCUAUCAGCUUGUUGGUAAGGUAACGGCUUACCAAGGCUACGACGGAUAGGGGAGGUGAGAGCCUGACC